GAUUAUGGCUCAGGAUGAACGCUAGCGGCAGGCUUAACACAUGCAAGUCGAGGGGCAUCGGGAGUAGCAAUACUGCCGGCGACCGGCGCAAGGGUGCGUAACGCGUGAGCAACAUGCCCGUAUCAGGGGGAUAAUCCAUGGAAACGUGGUCUAAUACCCCAUAGUAAUUAUGUAAGGCAUCUUAUAUAAUUUAAAGCUUUGGUGGAUACGGAUUGGCUCGCGUGACAUUAGCUGGAUGGUAAGGUAACGGCUUACCAUGGCUACGAUGUCUAGGGGUUCUGAGAGGAAGGUCCCCCACACUGGAACUGAGACACGGUCCAGACUCCUACGGGAGGCAGCAGUGAGGAAUAUUGGACAAUGGAUGGAAAUCUGAUCCAGCCAUGCCGCGUGCCAGGAAGACGGCCCUAUGGGUUGUAAACUGCUUUUGUAUGGGAGCAAUAAGGGCUACGUGUAGUCCGAUGAGAGUACCAUACGAAUAAGCACCGGCUAACUCCGUGCCAGCAGCCGC
Molecule: ribosomal RNA, 508 nt
Filed under: uncultured bacterium
Lineage: Bacteria
Description: bacterial SSU rRNA
Rfam family: Bacterial small subunit ribosomal RNA
Source: RNAcentral